AUCGCUUCUCGGCCUACUGGCUUAGAUCGUAUGGAGACAUCUGUUCUUAUCAGCUUAAUAUCUGAUACGGACCUAAUUGGUCCAAGAUAUUAUACUUAUUUUUGAAAAUGGUGUUCCUUCACAGAGCUUGCUUUGGGGACGCUAGGGCUAGCCCGGCAUUGCACUACCUCCGGGACUGGCUCGUCCCCC
Molecule: small nuclear RNA, 189 nt
Organism: Ixodes scapularis (black-legged tick)
Lineage: Eukaryota; Metazoa; Arthropoda; Arachnida; Ixodida; Ixodidae
Product: U2 spliceosomal RNA
Exons: 1
Source: RefSeq, a predicted model, not a curated record